This 322-nucleotide long non-coding RNA is filed under the name Lathyrus oleraceus (garden pea). RNAcentral's name for it is "Pisum sativum (pea) long non-coding RNA (PSAT_LNC024181)". Lineage: Eukaryota; Viridiplantae; Streptophyta; Magnoliopsida; Fabales; Fabaceae. The record is from RNAcentral.
AAAUAAAUAUUGAGUUAAAGUUUGAAAGAUUAAAAGGUAAUUACAUAAUUAAAAUUUAAUUCAAUAAGUCCCAAAUAAUCCAAACACACAUUUUGUCUAAAAAAACUAAACUAAGUAAUUACAGUGAAAAAUUGCUACAGAUGGAAAUAGGUUCCUAAUGACCAAAUUUUGUCUAAAAAAACUAAACUAAGUAAUUACAGUGAAAAAUUGCUACAGAUGGAAAUAGGUUCCUAAUGACCAAAACCAAGCAAUUAGGAUGAAAUCACUUUGGACUUAGUCAUGAAAACAGGUUAUCUUGAAGUUUGGAGCAGCCACCUUCCAU